Molecule: ribosomal RNA, 468 nt
Filed under: uncultured bacterium
Lineage: Bacteria
Description: partial 16S ribosomal RNA
Rfam family: Bacterial small subunit ribosomal RNA
Source: RNAcentral
GACGAACGCUGGCGGCGUGCUUAACACAUGCAAGUCGAACGGAAAGGCCCUGCUUUUGUGGGGUGCUCGAGUGGCGAACGGGUGAGUAACACGUGAGUAACCUGCCCUUGACUUUGGGAUUACUUCAGGAAACUGGGGCUAAUACCGGAUAGGAGCUCCUGCUGCAUGGUGGGGGUGGGAAAGUUUCGGCGGUUGGGGAUGGACUCGCGGCUUAUCAGCUUGUUGGUGGGGUAGUGGCUUACCCAGGCUUUGACGGGUAGCCGGCCUGAGAGGGUGACCGGCCACAUUGGGACUGAGAUACGGCCCAGACUCCUACGGGAGGCAGCAGCGGGGAAUAUUGCACAAUGGGCGGAAGCCUGAUGCAGCAACGCCGCGUGCGGGAUGACGGCCUUCGGGUUGUAAACCGCUUUAGCCUGUGACGCAGCGUGAGUGACGGUAAUGGGUAAAGAAGCACCGGCUAACUACGUG